CAUCCAGACUCCUACGGGAGGCAGCAGUGGGGAAUAUUGGGCAAUGGGCGCAAGCCUGACCCAGCAACGCCGCGUGAAGGAAGAAGGCUUUCGGGUUGUAAACUUCUUUUGACAGGGAAGAGCAGAAGACGGUACCUGUCGAAUAAGCCACGGCUAACUACGUGCCAGCAGCCGCGGUAAUACGUAGGUGGCAAGCGUUGUCCGGAUUUACUGGGUGUAAAGGGCGUGUAGCCGGGCUUACAAGUCAGAUGUGAAAUCCGGGGGCUCAACCCCCGAACUGCAUUUGAAACUGUAGGUCUUGAGUAUCGGAGAGGCAGGCGGAAUUCCUGGUGUAGCGGUGAAAUGCGUAGAUAUCAGGAGGAACACCGGCGGCGAAGGCGGCCUGCUGGACCGUGACUGACGUUGAGGCUCGAGAGCGUGGGGAGCAAACAGGAUUAGAUACCCGAGUA
Molecule: ribosomal RNA, 449 nt
Filed under: uncultured bacterium
Lineage: Bacteria
Description: bacterial SSU rRNA
Rfam family: Bacterial small subunit ribosomal RNA
Source: RNAcentral